Lutra lutra (Eurasian river otter) is the source of this 359-nucleotide long non-coding RNA. RefSeq lists it as uncharacterized. The transcript has 3 exons. The record is from RefSeq and is a predicted model, not a curated record. NCBI's taxonomy places the organism in Eukaryota, Metazoa, Chordata, Mammalia, Carnivora, Mustelidae.
UGUUUGGAGUCUUCGGUGAGCACUGGGUGUCCAACAUAAACACCUGCAAAGGUAUGCAAAGGUUCAGUUCGGAGCUCCAUCAUCCUCAACAUGGCUCUGCCAGGGACUGGCUGGAUGGCUCUGGGAACACCAGGGGAAAGUAUAUAGAAUAUGCUGUCUGCUCAGGAGAAUACAACCAACUUUUCUGCCUUCUGACAUUUGCCAGAAGAAAAAAGUCAUUGGUACAUGGUGAUCCCUGCAUGUGAGUUCAAGAGAGGCUGCCUUCCAGGAGGAGGAGGGCGGCAUCCAGAUGCCCCACCUGACAGGCAUGAGGGGACAACGGGAGACGGGAACCCGCUCUGGCUCUCUCUGCCAGCAGU